This 1477-nucleotide long non-coding RNA is filed under the name Sus scrofa (pig). RNAcentral's name for it is "lncRNA (ENSSSCG00065075745.1)". Lineage: Eukaryota; Metazoa; Chordata; Mammalia; Artiodactyla; Suidae. The record is from RNAcentral.
ACAACUUCUGGAGAUAAUGUGAUUUACCACUUUUCGAGGAAAAAGGUCGUCGUCUUCGUGGAAAGUUUGUGAUGACGUUGAAAGAAGGCGGCGCAAGACGACCUCAGAGGCAGCACGGGUUGGCCACCAGCCACCGUGACCCCUCCCUUUGUCUUACCCGUUAUUUAUUGCAAAAUAAUGCAUCUACCCCAGAGCGACCGUACCGGCUUUGUUGACCCUGAGCGCUGGGCCCUGAAAUCGGGCAAGACACUGUUCAUGGCUGAUUGUUUUACACGUGGUAAGAAAGGGCCCCCGUGUGAAACUAGACUGAAAUCUCUUUUGCUUCAAGUUCUGUACUGUUCCUCACUUCCUCUUCUUUACCGGGAUGACUCUCUAAACUCACCGAUAAGCCCUUGGCUCCACUAUGUCUUCGCAUUCUUUGCUCUGUUUGGUCCUUUGUGUGUCCCCCCCACAGCCCCCCCACAUGAAAUCAACUAAGUCGGAACCUGCGAACAGUCCGGCUGUCAGGCUGGUCCACCGAUGAUGCUUUGUUAGACUUUUACAGUGUAUUUUUAAACGGUGUCUUUGUUACACACAGGAUAUCAGGAGAUUCUACGUAAUUAGCCUCUCUUUAGAAUUCUCUCAAAAUAUCAGGACGCCUGGCAAGCCAGCGCAUUUUCCCUCAGGGCAGCGAGUAGCUGAAGCUGCCUCUUUCGUCUUAGGACUGGUCAGAUUCGCUGAUUUAUUUCCUCCCUGAAGCCCCGGGAUGGGACCACGAUGCAGAGGAGUGACCAGAGGACCUCGGACAGUAAGUUGCUGCACCAUCUGGAGGAGGGGACAGAGGUCGCUUCGCAUCUGGACACCAAGGGACCUUGCGGCUGGCGUUGGGGACGGGAAACCCCAAGCCGUGAUCUGUGUGGAUGGACGGGGGACCAAGCAGGCAGCACUGGAUGCCAAAGAGUGAACACGUGGUGGCAAGAUCGGAAGCCCCCAGAGCCUCAGCGUCGCCAAGGAAUGGAAUGAGGACAGGAGCACAUUGGGUCGUGGUAUCCAAAGCGUUCAAAGUUGUUUCUGAAGAGGUAUGCACACCUGAAGAUGCAGCCUGGGGUCCACGCUUUCCACAGUGUGGAUGGAGGCCUCAUAGUAAAAGACUUUUCCUCUGCGUCUCCCUACUGACCGCCUCCUUUUCUCUAAGAGUUUUAGCCAUCUCCUGACACACCUGAUGGCCAAAAAGAGUAAGCGCCACCCAGAGAGUUGCCCAUACGUAAGCGCCACCCAGAGAGUUGUUUGCUCUCGUUAGAGCUGCUGUUCUGCAAACGACAAUCGUUGCCUCCAUCUGUGCAGUGCGUGGCAGGAUGUGCUGGUCUCCGCGCUGCAGAAUGUCAGCAGGUGCUGCUUAAAGGUGGCAUCUUUACAUGACCCGGAGUUGUUGCUGGGUGUCAGCCUCAGCUGGGGGUGCAGGGCAGCUGGGACACAUCUGAAGGGCCUCGCCACGCAG